UACGUAGGGUGCAAGCGUUGUCCGGAAUUAUUGGGCGUAAAGAGCUCGUAGGCGGUUUGUUGCGUCGGCUGUGAAAUCCCGAGGCUCAACCUCGGGUCUGCAGUCGAUACGAGCAAACUAGAGUGUUGCAGGGGAGACUGGAAUUCCUGGUGUAGCGGUGAAAUGCGCAAAUAUCAGGAGGAACACCGGUGGCGAAGGCGGGUCUCUGGGCCGAUACUGACGCUGAGGAGCGAAAGCGUGGGGAGCGAACAGG
Molecule: ribosomal RNA, 253 nt
Filed under: uncultured bacterium
Lineage: Bacteria
Description: partial 16S ribosomal RNA
Rfam family: Bacterial small subunit ribosomal RNA
Source: RNAcentral